AGCUCCAAUAGCGUAUAUUAAAGUUGUUGCAGUUAAAAAGCUCGUAGUUGGAUUUCUGGUAGGAGCGGCCGAUCCGCCCCGUUAGGGGUGUGCAUUAGCGCUGUCUCUGGCCAUCCUUGGGGGAACUGCGCGGGGAGACUUGCGUUCGGGAACCCAUCGUUUACUGUGAAAAAAUUAGAGUGUUUAAAGCAGGCUUAUGCCGUUGAAUACAUUAGCAUGGAAUAAUAAGAUAGGACCGCGUGGUCGUCUUGUUGGUUUGCACCGCGAGGUAAUGAUUAAUAGGUACAGUUGGGGGUAUUCGUAUUUAAUUGUCAGAGGUGAAAUUCUUGGAUUUAUGAAAGACGAACUUCUGCGAAAGCAUUUACCAAGGAUGUUUUCA
RNAcentral lists this ribosomal RNA (379 nucleotides) under uncultured eukaryote. RNAcentral's name for it is "SSU rRNA". It matches the Rfam family "Eukaryotic small subunit ribosomal RNA", at positions 587 to 972 of the family's 1831-position model. The record is from RNAcentral.